AUGAGAGGAAGUGUUCCAGACACAGCUCAUCAUCAUUACCCGGAGAGCCUGGGGAACAAAAUACAGAUUUCCUUCCCCAUGCAGAUGAAACCAGACUCUCCGAGGGCAGAGCUCAGAAAUACCCGCUUCCAUAAGGGAGCCGCAAGCACAGGUAGAGCAGUGGUACUGAUGACGGCCGUCUCAGGGGGAGACCCUCAGGCAGAAAGGCCCUCGGGGACAAAACAGAUUCUUCUAGCGAAAUACAGAAAACACACCUGAACUGGGAUGAUUCUUGCCUAAGAGAUGUCCCACUGUGUUUGGCAAACCCACAGCGGGUCCCACGAGCCCAUGUCUGGAACUGCCUGGCCCUCCUUUACCAGUUUAUCAGACUUCCACUUCUGCUGAGGUUAGAAAGAGCCAGAGGCUCUGAUACAAUAAAAAUGAGCUCUGAAGAGGGGCUCUCUCCCUCUUGUAUUCAGAAGAACUGAAAGUUUUAAUAAGUCUCUAGAGAAGCAUGACAACUAUCUGUAGCAUUUUUCUUUGGGAAUUAACCUUUGCCAGUAAUUAUUUAUAUUCAGUAGAAUAACCAUGGGUUUCUCUAUUCCAGUUUCUAGAAUAUAAUUUUCAUAAAUGAGGGUGGUCUCCUAUUUUGAGCUUAAUAUUUUUCUGUUGCUAGAAAGAAUGGUACUGCCUCACUCCAGUUCCUUAGUUUGUGAUCAUGGCUUGAAAUCUCUGCUUUCGGUUACAUUCCUCUGAAUAUAGUCAUGUAUAAUGGCCUCAGGCAUGAUUUAGAAGGCACAGACUGAGCAGGCUGCUUUGUGAGGUGGUGAACUCCCCAUUCCUGAAAGCAUUCAAUCAAUCAAGAUGAAUAGUUACUUGUAACAGAUGCUGUAGUUCUGGUUCUUGAAUUACCAGGAGUUGGAAUAAAAUGAUCUCAGAGACUCUGUCCAUUCUAAGAUACCAUGUUUCCAUGACCCUACACAGAAUAGCUACACAGGUGGAGGAACAUGAGUCAGAGAAGCUUUGCACAAAAGAAGAUUGUUUUCCACAAAUGAAAAUGGGGUGAUUAACUUCUAAUUGCACCCUGUCUUAGUUUUCAGAUGCAUUGGUUCCUUCCCCAUGUGACCAUCUCUUUAUAUCAAGCUUAUGCUGAAUGUGGAUUAUUUUUAAUGUAAUGUUCACAUUGUAAAAGCAAUGAAACAGCAAACAAAGUAGAGCAAAAUAUCAAAAAUCUAAUGACUUUAUCAUAAAAAUUAUCAGCUUGAUACAGUCCUGUUCACUUUAAUAUAAACAUUUGUGGUUAAUUAUAGUGUUGUAUCUUUUUAGUUGAAACAUUCAAGUGUUUUUUUUCAUGUUGCCACACAGUCUUUGGGAUUAAUAUGCAUGUAGCUGUCUUUGUCGAACAUUUAUGGGAUGUCCAUUUUUCCAAAGCUUAAAUUAUAAAUCAUACUGCAGCAAAUACCUUCUCGCCCGAUAUUCCGAAUUAUUUCUUAAGAUUAGAGACAUUAAGUGCAAGUACCAGGUCAAAAACUAGAAGCAUUUUAACAGAUUCUGUUAGGGCUACAUUGCAUUCAAUAGACUGUGGCUGUACUAAUAUAUAGUUUCACACCAAAUUCACCUCACCUUGACCAGCAAGGGAUAUUUUCAUUUUAAAAUUGCUUGGUAACUUUUUUGGUUUGUGUUUCUCUUCAAACAAACAAGAUUGUAUUUUUUAAAGUGGUUCAUCAUUUGAAAAGAAUCUGUAGUGUUCUUUGCCCUUUUAUCUUGUGAGAUGUUAAUGUUUUCUUUGUCCAGUUGUGUGAAAUAUAUGUGUGAAUUUAUUUUUCCAAAUAAAAUAAAGACAUUAACCUUCUAUUUUACUGACAACAUAUUGUCUGUCUCAGUCUGACUGCAUUUUAAAAUGUGUUAUAGUUGUUUCACACAAAAUUAUUUAAUUUUUU
This is a long non-coding RNA of Papio anubis (olive baboon), 1919 nucleotides long. The record is from Ensembl. Lineage: Eukaryota; Metazoa; Chordata; Mammalia; Primates; Cercopithecidae.